CAAUAGCGUAUAUUUAAGUUGCUGCAGUUAAAAAGCUCGUAGUUGGAUUUCGGGUGGGAAUGGCCGGUCCGCCGUUUCGGUGUGCACUUGCUACGCCCACCUUGCUGCCGGGGACGUGCUCUUGAGUUCACGCUCGGGACACGGAGUCGGCGAGUUUACUUUGAGUAAAUUAGAGUGUUCAAAGCAGGCCUACGCUCUGAAUACAUUAGCAUGGAAUAACACGAUAGGACUCUGGCCUAUCUUGUUGGUCUGUAGGACCGGAGUAAUGAUUAAGAGGGACAGUCGGGGGCAUUCGUAUUUCAUUGUCAGAGGUGAAAUUCUUGGAUUUAUGAAAGACGAACUACUGCGAAAGCAUUUGCCAAGGAUGUUUUCAUUAA
RNAcentral lists this ribosomal RNA (377 nucleotides) under uncultured eukaryote. Its description in RNAcentral is "partial 18S ribosomal RNA". It matches the Rfam family "Eukaryotic small subunit ribosomal RNA", at positions 592 to 976 of the family's 1831-position model. The record is from RNAcentral.